This 3987-nucleotide long non-coding RNA is filed under the name Scleropages formosus (Asian bonytongue). RNAcentral's name for it is "lncRNA (ENSSFOG00015018247.2)". The record is from RNAcentral. Lineage: Eukaryota; Metazoa; Chordata; Actinopteri; Osteoglossiformes; Osteoglossidae.
AUGGAUUUGGUCUUAUUUUCAAUUUUUUGGUGUGCUCUCUCUUCCUGUAAGUUGUUGUCACACUGUGCAGCUUCAAGUAUAGUGCAAGUGCAUUCUGGGCUCCAAGUCAGCCGAGGAAAGUCUGUUUAUGUGACCAACAAGGAUCUGCAGCUCAGUCUCCCUGAUGAUGUGAAUUCCUGCAAGGUGGAAGUGGUAUUGAAUGAACCCGUGACACAAAGAGUUGGCAAACUCACACCUCAGGUUUUUGACUGUAACUUCUUACCUGAUGAGGUCAAGUACAUUCAUAAUGGUAGUCCUUUACUGGAGGAGGACACAGUGAUGCUAAGAAUCUACAGAUUUACACAUUCUGAGACUUUCAUAGAGACUGUUCUGCUGAGGGUGAGUGUGGUGGACCCCCAUGACAGCCUUAUCCAGUUUGGGAGAACUCCUUUGGUGGUCCCUGAGUUCUACAGCUUGUCUAACAUCAUUGACAGCAGAGUACUGACAUUCCAGAGCAGACCAGGAGCGAUCUGCAAUGUCCGUCUUCUCAACUCUGAAACUAGCAUGCCAGCAUUUGGACAGCUGGUCAAGGGCGAAUCCUCCAUGUCAGUCCCAAAGACAGACAUAAGAAGGUCCUCUGGAAAUAACUCAGAGACUCGAGACUCAUGUGCUGGUAACAAAGCCUGCAUCCAUGGCGCUAAGGAAGUACGUUUUUUAAAGGCCAACUGUGAGGAAUUCCUGAAAUCAGACUAUAAGUACCAGCAUCUCAAUCCUCCAUCCCCCGAGAUUGAUUACAUUACAAUCAGAGUGGAGCUGCGGGACAACAUCUCCAGGGCACUGUUGGAGACAGAAAGCACUUGGAUCCCAGUCCUAAUUCAUGGUGCCAUGCAGAACCAGCCCCCCCAUGCUGCCUUCAUGUCAAUGUUCAUCCUGGAGGUGGACCAGUUCAUUCUCACUCCCAUGACCACUGCUGCACUCGAUGCCAAGGACGAUGAAACCACUCAAGACCAGUUGGUGUUCAACAUUACUAAGCCCCCACCAGAGGGGUAUGUCACUCACCUGGAUGACCAUACCAAGCCAAUCACCUCCUUUAUCUGGCAAGACUUGCAUGAGAUGAAAAUUGCGUAUCAGCCCCCUAACAUAAGCUACACUGGGAGAAGGAACUAUGAGGUUGAGUUCCAGGCCAUUGACACUUCCUUUGCUACCAGUCCUACCAUACUGGUUCACUUCUCAGUCCGGACCGCAGAAACAAAUGCUCCUCGAGUGUCCUGGAAUAUGGGACUGGAUUUACUGGAAGGUCAAUCCAGACCAAUCACCUGGGAGAAUUUGCAGAUUGUGGACAGUGACAACAUCGAUGCAGUCUAUUUGGUGGCUGUGGAGGGACCUUCACAUGGGCAGCUGAGUGUGCGAGGUGGGAAAGGUUUCAUGUUCAAGGUGCAAGACCUGCAUGAGGGUGUAGUGGUGUACCAUCAUUCAGACAGCGACACCAUAAGGGACCAUAUAGUGUUCCGCAUCUCUGAUGGUCAGCACAGCAUUCGACACAAGUUCCCCAUCAAUAUUCUCCCAAAAGACGAUACACCUCCAUUCCUCAUCAACAAUGUGGCAUUUGAGGUGCAGGAGGGGGGUUCUGUUCUGGUGGAGGAAUACAUGUUAUUAGCCUCAGACUUGGACUCCAGCGAUGACUACAUCUUCUAUAAGGUUCUUACAGUUCCACGAGCCGGAGAGUUGAUUAAGAGGUCAUCUGCCCAGUUCCCAGGCUUCAUACUAUACGUGACUAGUUUCCUGCAGAGAGAUUUGUCUCAGGGCUUAAUUUAUUACAGACACUUUGGUGAUGAGGUAUUUGAAGAUUCAUUUGACUUCAUCCUCUCUGACAGCCACCAACCCCCAAAUCUGUCAGAAAGACAUACUGUGGUGGUUCAUGUUUCUCCAGUAAAGGACCAGCUGCCAGAGGAGGUGCCAGGCAGCAUCCGUGCCAUCACAGUGAAGGAGACAGAAAUUGUCCACCUCACCCAGAGCCACCUGCACUUCAGGGACCAAGAGUCUCCUGAGACAGACCUCAUGUAUUCCAUCAUUCAGCCCUGUUUCAGCCCCACAGCAUCCAGGAUGCAGGAUGCCGGCAGGCUGUUCUAUACUGACAGUGCAUACUCCAUGAAGAAGGAUCCCACUGUUCCAGUGCUGAAGUCUUUUACUCAGCAUGCAGUGAAUCACCUGAAAGUGGGGUACAUGCCCCCCCUCGAAGACAUUGGACCAGAGCCUCUUUUUGUGCAGUUUAUCUUCUCUCUGAAUGACCAGCACGGUGGCACUCUGAGCGGCCUUGUCUUCAACAUUACCGUGAUGCCAGUGGACAACCAGCCUCCUGAGAUGUUCACCAACUUGAUGAGGGUGGAGGAGGGAGGAAGUGGCUUCGUGACCGAAGAGCACCUCCUGGUGCGGGACACGGAUAGCCAGGACACCCAGCUGAUGUUGCAGCUUCAAACAGCUCCUCGGCAUGGACAGCUGGAGCUGCAGGGUAUAGCGUUACUGUCAGGGGACAACUUUACUGUCCAGGACCUGAGGAGGCUCAGAGUCAGGUAUAUUCACGAUGACAGCGAAACUCUUGAAGACAGUAUUGACCUCAAAGCAACAGAUGGCACAAACUCUGCUUAUGGAUCACUCUCUGUGCAGAUCCUGCCUGUGAAUGAUGAGCCGCCCCUGCUCGGUGCCGGGCUACGAUCAGGCCUGGAGUGUGCAGAGGGGGGACGUGUGCAGGUGAGCGCGGACUACCUGUCUGCCACGGAUGCAGACAGUGAUGACGCCGAGCUCAUGUACAUGUUGGCACGGAGGCCAGCCCAAGGAGAACUGCAGAGAGCAGGCAUGGCAGUGGAAAAAUUCUCUCAGUGGGAUGUUGUCCAGGGGUUGAUCUUCUACGUGCACACAGGUGGUGAGAUCGGACCCCACCCUGUCUUAGACCCCGUCACCUUGAUUGUGUCAGAUGGAGAAGCUGGCCCUCUGGAGGGCUGCUGCCAUGGAGAUGCUCCACCACCACCUGUCCCUUUGCAUGGAUUCCUUCCUGUAUACGACCUCAACAUCACUGUACUUCCUGUCAAUAACCUGCCCCCUGUUAUCACACUAGGAGACAUGAUUGUGGUGGAUGAGGGUUCCUCUGCUUGUCUCUGUGGGGGGUUUCUGGGGGCAACUGAUCCUGAUACACCCCAGGACCAGCUCCUGUUUUCCAUUGAUGUUCCACCCCAGUAUGGCUUUAUAGAGAACACCUUGCCCUCACCCGGGUUUGAGAAGAGCAACGCAGGACUCAGAGUUUACUCUUUCAGCUGGCUGCACCUCAAUGCAGGGUACAUCAACUAUGUCCAGUCUCAGCAUGAAGGGACAGAGCCUGGAGCUGACCACUUUGUUGUGACAGUCAGCGAUGGGGUGCAGAGGUCAGCCUCAGUUCCCUUCUACAUAAUCAUCAGUCCUACAAAUGAUGAGAUGCCCACACUGCUCCUCAGCAACUUCUCUGUGAUGGAGGGAGGCAUGAAGGACUUGACUCCACAUAUUUUGGAUGCGGUGGAUUUAGAUGUCCCCACAGACACACUCACCCUCUCAGUUGUGGUGCCACCAGCCCACGGGAUGCUACUGAAUGGAAUCUACGGAGAGCAGAUGAGCCGCUACAGGGAGAUGGGACCUGAACUCCUCCAGAGAAGCCUCAGUGUGAUGGAUUUCACCCUGCAGGAACUUCGUCACGGAAUGAAGAUCAUAUACAUGCACGAUGACACGGAAACCCUCAAGGACGCUUUCACCAUGCAGCUGACAGAUGGCAGGCACACAGUCCAGGGGACGGCGCACGUCCGACGCCCUGGGACAAAUUUCAAGCCAAAAAGAAUUAUCUCCAGUGUGGUAUUGGAUGCAGAAGACCUGGACACCCCCAUACAUAAAUUGUACUACAUCCUCAGUGUUGGCCCCAAGUUCGGACAGCUGCAGAUGAAGGUCAGCCGCAAGAUCUAUACAGAUCUACAAAAUCUCUUAAACUGA